UUAGUCAUUCAGCACAAGUUCACACAGUACACGGGGAGCAGAGCAGAGAGCUCAGACUGAAGUGCAGAGAGAAGCAUGCCGACAGGACCGUGUGGUACGGACAGAGGUGCAGUCAACUUCCCUUCAUUAUUGUUGCUGUUAUUGGCUCAGAUCAACCUCCAUUUCAUCCAGUGUUCAUCCGAGGUUCUGAGUCAAACUUCAAUAUUGCAUGGGAUGCAAAUGCAGCAUCGGUUAGCCUGGAAAUUAAGAACUUCAGCGACUCUGAUCAAGGGUUCUACUACUGCAGCGUAGGUGAUGAAGCGUACACAAUUAUUGGAUCUGGAUAUACUGUAACUCUAAAAGAGACGGCCAAUACACCCACACAGGCCCCAGCGACACUCAUAGUUCAUGAAGAAAAGGAAUCAUGGCAGUGGCAUACAGUGGCUAUUUGGCCUGUAAUCUGUUUUACAGUGUCUGGAAUAGCUUUGUGGGGUAUUUAUGAAAUACAAAAACAACCAAGGUCUAAAAAGGUUUGUGGAAUUUGUAUGUGACUAUUUUCUUUACC
This is a long non-coding RNA of Astyanax mexicanus (Mexican tetra), 544 nucleotides long. RefSeq lists it as uncharacterized. The transcript is spliced from 3 exons. NCBI's taxonomy places the organism in Eukaryota, Metazoa, Chordata, Actinopteri, Characiformes, Acestrorhamphidae. The record is from RefSeq and is a predicted model, not a curated record.